GGAUUUAUCCCCAAUUCCAGGGCUCAGGGGAAGGGCUCUGAAGCAGGCAGGGCCCAGCAGCAUCACAGACACACACAGAGACAGGCUGGAGAUUUAUUCUCACUCACCACUGUGCCCAGUGCUACAAACAUUAAAAAAAUAACUCUAUAAAAGCAAGUUCUUCGCUCCUUUUCCAGUACAGCGGCGAUGGCAGAGCCUCCAACACGAGAACCAGUUGUACAAACCCCAAACCUGCUCGAGACAAGUCACAAUAUCAGCUUUCCCCCCCAAAAUUCAUCCAUCCAUGGGGGUUCAGGCACCCCCAGAGCUGUUCCUUUUCCCCUCUGGGAUCAGCCAGGACAUUCUGUUUUUGCUGAUGGAAGACUGGAGUAACCUGCCCUGGGAAUCCCCAGGAGUUUUGUGGAUAAUUGAGGGCUGGGGGAGGAAGUGGCAGGUACAGCCAAGCCAGCUCAAUCACCAGCCACCGAUGGAAGAAAUUGGGGUGGGAAACAUUGGCAGAGCUCAGGACUCGGUGUCACAGCACAAGCGAGGGAGUUUUCAAAAGUAAAUCCACGGAAAUCAACUCAAAUUGAUGUUUCAAAAAAAAAAAAAAAAAAAAUUUAAAUCCCCCCACGAGGAAUAAGGGGUGAACCAGCCUCAUGCAAAAAAAACAAAAAAAAAACCAACAAAAACCACAGAAAAAACCCCCUGUUCCUUUGAAGGAAACUUCCGAUCUGAAGUCAAAUUAGCAAUGAACUAAUUGGGAAAUGCUCGUUUGUCACAAGCCUUGAAGGCCAAUGUUCAUCCCUCCUUUGAGCCACUGGAGGAACAGAACUCACUGCUGGCCAGGAAAAGAAAAGCAAAGCUUCAAAGUUUGUUGGUUUAAAAAAAACCCCAAACUUUCAGGACAAUUCAUAUUCAGACACAACAUCCUCAAGUUCAGUGUUUUUAAACCAAAACACAUCUGUUACAAACAAAACAACUUUCCCAAGUUUCAAGUAUUAAAAAAAAAAUAAUAUUCCAAGCGAUCGCCUUCAUACUGGUACCUCAGAACAGGGAAAUAUUUUAAAUUAAACCUGGUAAGGCUGAAAAAUUCACUCUCGGGAGAAGGCAGGACCUCGCUCCUUAACCAUUAACAAAUUUUUAAAAAUAUUUCCAAUGAUUUGCUGACUGCAAGGAGGGAAAACUCCUUGUAAAGAGGAGCAGGAUUUGGGCUCUGGUUCUGCUGGAGGGGUGGCACAGGGAGAAGUUUGGGGACAGCCCUGAGGUGACAAAAGGCAGAGUGUCCCUGCCCUCACUGCUUGGCCGAUUGCCUGCCCGGCUUCUUCUCCUGCUGGCCUCUCCCACUGCCUGGAAUUCCUCGGCCACGGCCCCCAAACACACCUGUGGGGCACAAAGGGACAGCUGUCAGCACCAGCAAUGCCUCACAGCCACGUUUCACCCCAAAAAAUCCCUUAGUUUGGAGCCUCAGAAGCAGAAAUGCGACUUUCUGACUUCUCCUUUUGCAGCCCCAGACCUUUAUUUAGGAGGUGCAUAAUCAUUAAUCUGAUGGGGGGGGAUGAGUUUAA
Zonotrichia albicollis (white-throated sparrow) is the source of this 1547-nucleotide long non-coding RNA. The record is from Ensembl. Lineage: Eukaryota; Metazoa; Chordata; Aves; Passeriformes; Passerellidae.